RNAcentral lists this ribosomal RNA (408 nucleotides) under Acanthamoeba genotype T4. Its description in RNAcentral is "SSU rRNA". It matches the Rfam family "Eukaryotic small subunit ribosomal RNA", at positions 780 to 1083 of the family's 1831-position model. Lineage: Eukaryota; Discosea; Longamoebia; Acanthamoebidae. The record is from RNAcentral.
GCAUGCAGAUCCAUUUUCUGCCACCGAAUACAUUAGCAUGGGAUAAUGGAAUAGGACCCUGUCCUCCUAUUUUCAGUUGGUUUUGGCAGCGCGAGGACUAGGGUAAUGAUUAAUAGGGAUAGUUGGGGGCAUUAAUAUUUAAUUGUCAGAGGUGAAAUUCUUGGAUUUAUGAAAGAUUAACUUCUGCGAAAGCAUCUGCCAAGGAUGUUUUCAUUAAUCAAGAACGAAAGUUAGGGGAUCGAAGACGAUCAGAUACCGUCGUAGUCUUAACCAUAAACGAUGCCGACCAGCGAUUAGGAGACGUUGAAUACAAAACACCACCAUCGGCGCGGUCGUCCCUGGCUCGUCGUCUCACGACGGCGGGCGGGGGCGGUUUAGCCCGAUGGCACCGGUGAAUGACUCCCCUAG